UUCUGAAAGGUGGUAAUGGUUCACUUAAAAGGUGUAUCCUUUGGAAGAGUCAUGUUUGUUCGUUCGAAACAUUGUGUCUUUUUCUGAACAGAACAAUCACACUUUUCCAAAAUAAUAUGUCUUUUGCUCAAAGGUUGUGUCCCUCCACUUUUCAUUCACACCAAUUAAACCCAACAAUCCCCCACAUGAAUGGGCAAUGACUAUUCUUUGUAAAUCUUUACGGACAAGUAUG
Molecule: long non-coding RNA, 232 nt
Filed under: Capsicum annuum
Lineage: Eukaryota; Viridiplantae; Streptophyta; Magnoliopsida; Solanales; Solanaceae
Description: long non-coding RNA (CANN_LNC000157)
Source: RNAcentral